AAUUAGCCUCUUAAUUGGGGGAUAGUAUGAAUGGUAAUAUUGACCAGAUCCUAAUUUUUAUAUUGUGAAUUUUGAGUAAAGGUGAAAAUUCCUUUAUAAUAAUUUUAGACAAAAAGACCCUAUGAAGCUUACAAUGAAUAUAUAACAAAUUAAUUAAGAAUUGUUUCUUUGGGGAAAAGGUUAACGAUUGUAUUUUUAGAGUGUAAGAUCCUGAGAAGAA
Molecule: ribosomal RNA, 220 nt
Filed under: Subeucalanus subcrassus
Lineage: Eukaryota; Metazoa; Arthropoda; Copepoda; Calanoida; Eucalanidae
Description: partial 16S ribosomal RNA
Source: RNAcentral